AUGGAUGAAUGCACCGCCAAAAAACUUAGAGCUUCAUAUGCUAGAGUUUUAGAGGAAGUAGAUAUCACACAAAAACCUAAAAAAAGUGUAAAAAUAAUGGAUCAUAGAGGAAAGCUGGUUGAACAAAUCAUUGACUAUGAGUGGAGACCUAAAUAUUGCCAUAGCUGUCUAAAAAUAGGGCAUGAUUGUACUGAGAAGCAACAGCUUGUUAGACAACAGACCAAAGUGUGGAAACUUGUGGCACUCAAACCUAUUGUUGAAGAGAAGAUAGAGGAAGAGCCAAGACCAUGA
Vicia faba (fava bean) is the source of this 291-nucleotide non-coding RNA. The record is from the annotation of a GenBank genome assembly. Lineage: Eukaryota; Viridiplantae; Streptophyta; Magnoliopsida; Fabales; Fabaceae.